Molecule: long non-coding RNA, 2169 nt
Organism: Dasypus novemcinctus (nine-banded armadillo)
Lineage: Eukaryota; Metazoa; Chordata; Mammalia; Cingulata; Dasypodidae
Source: Ensembl
AUGCUAGCUAAGCGCUAUGUGGAAACAGCAACAUAAGGGAUCAGAGAGUGUGCGCGUGUGCGAUGGGGAUGGGGGUGCUGGUCGCACCAGGCCCCCUGCAGGAGAGAUGGAGAGGAGGGGACGAAUUUGAGACAUGCUUAGGACUGAGGAACAAUAGGGCUCAAACAUUAGGGGCACAAACUCCGGACUCUUGGCCGCGCAGGUGGGAGCGUGAUAACUGUGCUGGGAGCGUAGAGGCUCGCCAACAGCGCCGCCUGGGGCAGAGGCCAUGGGACGCCCGCCUCGGAGUCACUUACCUUCUGGAGUCAGGGCGGCAGGUAGGAAGGUCCCCUUCUGGGUCACGCUGGGAGGGAACUGGGGAGCCGAGGCAGACGGAAGGUCCGAUCUUAGAGGCGGGAAACUAGAGGGGCCUUAGGCGACAGGGACGGCCCCGCCCCACUCUCCCCGGCGGGAAGGCGGGUUCAGGUCCCCCGCCCCUACGCACCAGUCACCAGCCCAGUGACACCUCCUUCUUGGGGUCUUGGCCCCAGGAAUUCCUUCCUGGGCACUGCCGCGCGGCUCGGCGCGGGGUUGCCCUGCUUUUCAUUCCAGGAGACUGGACAAAUGCGGGGACGGGGCGAGGGGCCGAGGUUCACCUCGGAAUUUCAGGGCCCGUCUGGAAACCAGGCAACGCCUUCGCUUGUCUUCGAAGCUUUGGGCCGGGGGCCGGGUCUGAGGACCGCGAGCGGAGCGGGCAGAGUCGACACCCCAGACGAUUGGAUUCGCACCCGCGCAACGUCCGCAAUUCACGAUGUGAAGGUCCGCAGGGAGACACGCGUAGGGGAGGAUCUGCUGGCAUCGAGAUUGCUUUCGCCCUACGGCCCGGGUGGCGGGCGUAGUGGAGAGCAGGCACCUGGAAAUCAGGGUGUCCUUACUGUAUCUUACGACUGCUCGAGGAUGCAGCUCCGGCAACGCGAUGGAAAGAAAAGAUCCUCAACAAAAACGUUCUGCGUUGGCCGGGAAUCGAACCCGGGUCAACUGCUUGGAAGGCAGCUAUGCUCACCACUAUACCACCAACGCCGCUGUACCGCCUCUCUUUCCCCCACUCUAUUCGAGGCGUCUAAGUCCCCUCCUGAGAGCCUGGCUACGACCAUCCACAGACGAGAAAAUCAAGGUCCAGGUAAACUAACUACCGGGACUCUCUGAACACCGGCAGAACCGAGAUUAAAUCCAAGAUUUGUCAAGGGUCCGGAAAUAGCGACGAGACCGUGAUGAUUUAUUAUCGCCAGGAAAAAAGUCCCAAAUACAUAAAACUUAAAAUUUGCUUCUCCGUCGAGUGGGUCAACCUGGUCACGAGGUUAACAGAUUGCGCCUUAAAUCAAGAGCGCCUAAGCACAAUAUGGCCCUCGUGGUCAUUUAUCCGGGAGAGUUAGAGUUAAGCCAUGAGUUAAAUUCUUACCUGCGCCAGCAUCUUAUCUGCUCUAAGUUCCGGGACCCACGCAAAACCGUAGGGAGGGAGCCUGAAGGCAGGGGGUCCGCCUCUUUGAUGACGCAACUUCUACUCAGGAACUUGCAGAGCCUGCUGGUCGAAGGGGCCUCGUGGCGCAACGGCAGCGCGUCUGACUCCAGAUCAGAAGGUUGCGUGUUCAAAUCACGUCGGGGUCAAGAGCUACGUUUUGGGUGUCAAUUGUUUCAUAUUACCCUUUUAGAAGUGAGGUGAAAAAAAAAUCAUUUUCAAUAUAAAGAAAAUACGAACCUGACUGUGUGCAUUUUUUCCUAAAGUAUAAGCAUUUUUUUCUAAAAUACAAAUUUUCGAAACUUUUAUUCUCAUUUUACUGUGUGCAUCAAAGCAGUCAAUUAAAAUAGCAAUCUAAUCUCAAAAAUAUUUGCAUACCCUAACACAGACGUUGUUAAUGAACAGUCCCCAGUUCUUGUUCAGAAAAUGUAACUGCAGCAAAUAAAUUUUCUUUAUUGGAGAGAUAUAAUAAUAGUUAAUAAAUUUUAACUAUUACAAUCAUUUUCCUAAGCCAUUGUUUUUUGUGUUUUGUUUUGUUCUGUUUCCCAGCAGUUUAACUUCCACUUGCCAGUAGUGUCUAUAAUCUUGUUCUUCACUAUUUUCACUUAUCAUUGUAAUAUAAAUAUUCUUCUAGUCUUUAUAAGUAUGAGUUUAAUGACCAUCUAAAAUUGGAG